This 68-nucleotide transfer RNA is filed under the name chicken gut metagenome. It matches the Rfam family "tRNA". Rfam says of the family: Transfer RNA (tRNA) molecules are approximately 80 nucleotides in length. Their secondary structure includes four short double-helical elements and three loops (D, anti-codon, and T loops). The record is from RNAcentral.
GUCUUAGCUCAGUUGGUAGAGCAACUCAUUCGUAAUGAGUAGGUCGCAAGUUCGAAUCUUGUUGACGG